GCGUGGGUUUGGAUUUAUGGCAGGUCCAUCCCCCUGGGCCUCUCAUAGUGUCCCAUGCUAGAGCAAACUGGCCCCAAACCAUUGCCUAGUCUCUGCCUGUGGGCUGCUGGCACUGAAGAGAGUUGCACAGGG
Small nucleolar RNA from Tupaia belangeri (northern tree shrew), 132 nucleotides. The record is from Ensembl. NCBI's taxonomy places the organism in Eukaryota, Metazoa, Chordata, Mammalia, Scandentia, Tupaiidae.